Long non-coding RNA from Manis javanica (Malayan pangolin), 411 nucleotides. RefSeq lists it as uncharacterized. The record is from RefSeq and is a predicted model, not a curated record. Lineage: Eukaryota; Metazoa; Chordata; Mammalia; Pholidota; Manidae.
GAGUUCCUCCUGGAAGGGGUGAGGGAAGGUGGAGUGUGCCUCAGAGAUGGAGACCUGGGGAGCUGAGCUAAGGAAGAGGAGGUGGAGUGUACACCGAGAGAGAGAGAAUGGAGCAGCUGGGGUUCCAACUGGAGCACCGUCGGGGGAGAGACUGAGCCUAAAUCCUCCUACUUCCCUUCGGAACCCUGAUGCUGAGAAGAUAUGAAAGUUCUUUGAAAUUGUUUAAAAUCACAAGCCAGAGCUGGAGCAUGCAUGUGGAGUUUGGAAUGAAGAGUAACCAAGACACAGAAAGGGUGAAAAAUUGGUGAUGAAAAUGGUGCUGCAGAAGAAUGCACCAUCCAAAAAAUGCUUGCUUCUCUAUCUUUUCCACCACCACUAUUGUGUUGUCCUUCUUACAAAUAAUAAAUAUAU